Molecule: ribosomal RNA, 1349 nt
Filed under: uncultured prokaryote
Description: partial 16S ribosomal RNA
Rfam family: Bacterial small subunit ribosomal RNA
Source: RNAcentral
GAUGAACGCUGGCGGCGUGCCUAACACAUGCAAGUCGAACGGUCUUCGCAAGGGGACAGUGGCGCACGGGUGAGGAACACGUAGCCGACCUGCCUUGGAGUGCGGGAUAACGCCCCGAAAGGGGUGCUAAUACCGCGUAAGCUCACGGGAUUUAGAAACCUGGGAGAAAAGGCCUUCGGGUCGCUCUGAGAGGGGGCUGUGGCCCAUCAGCUAGUUGGUAGGGUAAAAGCCUACCAAGGCGACGACGGGUAGGGGGCCUGAGAUGGUGGCCCCCCACACUGGGACUGAGACACGGCCCAGACUCCUACGGGAGGCAGCAGUGAGGGAUAUUGCGCAAUGGGCGAAAGCCUGACGCAGCGACGCCGCGUGGGUGAAGAAGGCUUUCGGGUCGUAAAGCCCUUUUCCAGGUGACGAGGAAGGACGGUAGCCUGGGAAUAAGUGUCGGCUAACUACGUGCCAGCAGCCGCGGUAAAACGUAGGACACGAGCGUUAUCCGGAGUUACUGGGCGUAAAGGGCGUGUAGGCGGCUGGACAAGUUGGUUGUGAAAGCGCCCGGCUAAACUGGGCGAGGUCGAUCAAGACUGUGUAACUCGAGAGUGAUAGAGGGGCGCAGAAUUCGGGGUGUAGCGGUGAAAUGUGUAGAGAUCCCGAGGAAUACCAGUGGGGAAGCCGGCGCCCUGGGUCAUAUCUGACGCUGAGGUGCGAAAGCGUGGGGAGCGGACGGGAUUAGAUACCCCGGUAGUCCACGCCGUAAACGAUGUGAAUACCAGCUGUUUGGGAAAUCGACCUCCCAAGUGGCGCAGCUAACGCGAUGAGUAUUCCGCCUGGGGAUUACGGUCGCAAGACUAAAACUCAAAGGAAUUGACGGGGGCCCGCACAAGCGGUGGAGCAUGUGGUUUAAUUCGACGCAACGCGAAGAACCUUACCUUGGUUUGACAUCCCCUGACCGCUGUGGAGACACAGUUUUCUCUUCGGAGACAGGGUGACAGGUGCUGCAUGGCUGUCGUCAGCUCGUGUCGUGAGAUGUUGGGUUAAGUCCCGCAACGAGCGCAACCCUUGUCCUUAGUUGCCAGCGCGUAAUGGCGGGAACUCUAAGGAGACUGCCGGUGUUAAGCCGGAGGAAGGUGGGGAUGACGUCAAGUCCUCAUGGCCUUUAUAUCCAGGGCUACACACGUGCUACAAUGGUGACUACAAAGAGUCGCCAACCCGCGAGGGGGAGCCAAUCCCAGAAAACCGGUCGUAGUCCGGAUCGGAGUCUGCAACUCGACUCCGUGAAGUCGGAAUCGCUAGUAAUCGCGAAUCAGAAUGUCGCGGUGAAUACGUUCCCGGGCCUUGUACACACCGCCCGU